UAGGGAGACCUACUUUUGAGUAGAGUGCCAAAUCCAACAAAAAUAGCACCAUCAAAAGUCAUCCCAGGUCGUUACGAGAAAAAUGAAAAACACAACAACAGCUUUCAAACUCGGAAGUCCGGUUCAAAACCNUAGGACAAUUCAGCACCUAGCUUCAAUCAAAAAGAAGCCAGAAUGCUGGACUAACAAGUCCAGACAGAACCUUGAAAAUUGCAGAGAAACAAAAACUGGCAGUAGUUCGUAGUUAGAACUUUGAGCCAUGGGAAGGGAAACCAACCCAAAAGCCAAAGAGAUAACCACA
This 301-nucleotide unclassified non-coding RNA is filed under the name Planktothrix agardhii PCC 9702. RNAcentral's name for it is "partial 16S-23S ribosomal RNA intergenic spacer". The record is from RNAcentral. Lineage: Bacteria; Bacillati; Cyanobacteriota; Cyanophyceae; Oscillatoriales; Microcoleaceae.